RNAcentral lists this ribosomal RNA (468 nucleotides) under uncultured bacterium. RNAcentral's name for it is "partial 16S ribosomal RNA". It matches the Rfam family "Bacterial small subunit ribosomal RNA", at positions 28 to 507 of the family's 1533-position model. The record is from RNAcentral.
GACGAACGCUGGCGGCGUGCUUAACACAUGCAAGUCGAACGGAAAGGCCCUGCUUUUGUGGGGUGCUCGAGUGGCGAACGGGUGAGUAACACGUGAGUAACCUGCCCUUGACUUUGGGAUAACUUCAGGAAACUGGGGCUAAUACCGGAUAGGAGCUCCUGCUGCAUGGUGGGGGUUGGAAAGUUUCGGCGGUUGGGGAUGGACUCGCGGCUUAUCAGCUUGUUGGUGGGGUAGUGGCUUACCAAGGCUUUGACGGGUAGCCGGCCUGAGAGGGUGACCGGCCACAUUGGGGAUGGGGUACGGGCCAGACUCCUACGGGGGGCAGGAGGGGGGAAUAAUUCACAAUGGGGCGGAGGCUGAUGGAGGAAACGCGGGUGCGGGAUGAACGCCUUCGGGGUGUAAACCGCUUUCGCCUGUGACGAAGCGUGAGUGACGGUAAUGGGUAAAGAAGCACCGGCUAACUACGUG